Molecule: long non-coding RNA, 350 nt
Organism: Oncorhynchus tshawytscha (Chinook salmon)
Lineage: Eukaryota; Metazoa; Chordata; Actinopteri; Salmoniformes; Salmonidae
Source: Ensembl
GGGGGGCAGGUACCCUAGUGGUUAGAGUGUAGGGGCGGCAGGUACCCUAGUGGUUAGAGUGUAGGGGCGGCAGGUACCCUAGUGGUUAGAGUGUAGGGGCGGCAGGUACCCUAGUGGUUAGAGUGUAGGGGCGGCAGGUACCCUAGUGGUUAAAGUGUAGGGGCGGCAGGUACCCUAGUGGUUAGAGUGUAGGGGCGGCAGGUAGCCUAGUGGUUAGAGUGUAGGGACGGCAGGUACCCUAGUGGUUAGAGUGUAGGGGCGGCAGGUACCCUAGUGGUUAGAGUGUAGGGGCGGCAGGUACCCUAGUGGUUAGAGUGUAGGGGCGGCAGGUACCCUAGUGGUUAGAGUGU